RNAcentral lists this ribosomal RNA (440 nucleotides) under Cormocephalus sp. CES091055. Its description in RNAcentral is "partial 16S ribosomal RNA". It matches the Rfam family "Bacterial large subunit ribosomal RNA", at positions 1928 to 2600 of the family's 2925-position model. The record is from RNAcentral. Lineage: Eukaryota; Metazoa; Arthropoda; Chilopoda; Scolopendromorpha; Scolopendridae.
UGGCCGCGGUAUUUUGACUGUGCUAAGGUAGCAUAAUAAUUAGGUUAUUUAUUGUGAUCUUGAAUGAAGGGUUUGACGUAGGAUAUUCUUUCUUAUUAUUAUAAAUGAAUUUAAACUGUUAGUAAAAAUGCUAAUAUUAUAUACUAAACGAGAAGACCCUAUUAAGUUUUAUAUAGAUUGUUUUAUUUUUUAGUUGAAUUUAGAUUAAUUUAUAUUUUGCUGGGGCGGUGGAUUGUAAAUUUACAUUAUAAGUAUAUUGUUGUAUAAAAUUAUUGAACCAUUAUUGAUGAUUAAUAGAUUAAAUUACUAUAGGGAUAACAGCAUAAUUGUAUUGAAGAGUUCUCAUUGAUAAUACAGUUUAUGACCUCGAUGUUGAAUCAAGAUUUCUUGAAGGUGUAGAUGUUUUUUUAGAUAGUCUGUUCGACUAUUAAAAUUUUACG